CAUAAUUCUAGAACCCUCAUCUGCUUUCAUAAACCUAUUUUCAUCUCCAUACUUUGAACUACUACUCCUCUAUGAGUUACAUUUAUCUUCUAGAUGGGUCUUUCUAUUUCCGGUAACCUUUUCACUUAAUUUUUACUUUAAUCUUCUCCCAUUAUUGCUUGUCUGAAUCACUUAUUUGCCCUUGAUGUUGCUUAUUGUGCUUCCUAAAGAAAUGUCUUAUGUGUAAAUUCAAAGGCAACCCAAAGCCACCUACUGCUCUACCAUCGUUCUACCCCUUCAAUAGAGAUUGAGUAUACGCCGGAGCUUGCGGAUGUAUCGAAACCGCAGAUGUAUCGGAGCCGCUUCUUCUUUUGUUUAAUAUGAAGAAAUCUCAUCCAUUAAGAUCGAGUCUGGUAAAUGGUUAGAUCAUUUAUUUGUUAAACAUUUUCGGUUGUGACAAAAUUUUCAAGGGCAAAUCCCCGUUUCACCGGCGUCGUUAGCACUCAAUCCAAGCGGCCAUCGUCGGCGGCGGCGGCGGCAAUAAGCGGCAAUAAGCGGCCAUCGUCGGCACCCAGACUCCUCUCCAUCUCCGAUUGACGGAGCCACAGCCUAAGUACUCAGCCUAUCGCGAAUCAAGUUUUGGACAUGCCAUAUUGGAGAUUAAGAAUCGAACUCACGCCUAUUACAGUUGGCAUCGUAAUCAGGAUGGUUUUUCUGCAAAAGCUGAUAGCUUCUUGUUUUUCAAUCGUUAUUGGCACCCAAUUGAUGAAUCUUAUUAAACGAUCAUUGGUUUAAAUGUCCUUCUUUCUUCUAUGUGUUUAGACAUAAAUAAAUUGGAUGUCAUCCUUGUAACAUUCCAGCCUCUUUAGCGGUUUCUGGAAUAUAUGUGUCUAUUGUUAGUGGAGAUGGAUGAUGUCAAACAUAUUGUUAUCUGUGUGGUUACUUUUCUAUGAGAUAAAAUCGCUUAAUGUCAGUAAACUUUA
Nicotiana tabacum (common tobacco) is the source of this 962-nucleotide long non-coding RNA. RefSeq lists it as uncharacterized. The record is from RefSeq and is a predicted model, not a curated record. Lineage: Eukaryota; Viridiplantae; Streptophyta; Magnoliopsida; Solanales; Solanaceae.